UACGGGGGGGGCAAGCGUUGUUCGGAAUUACUGGGCGUAAAGAGCGCGCAGGCGGCUGGUCAAGUCCGAUGUGAAAUCCCCGGGCUUAACCUGGGAAUGGCAUUUGGGACUGCAAGGCUAGAGUGCGGCAGAGGAGACUGGAAUUCCUGGUGUAGCAGUGAAAUGCGUAGAUAUCAGGAGGAAUACCGAUGGCGAAGGCAGGUCUCUGGGCUGACACUGACGCUCAUGCACGAAAGCGUGGGGAGCAAACAGG
RNAcentral lists this ribosomal RNA (253 nucleotides) under uncultured bacterium. Its description in RNAcentral is "partial 16S ribosomal RNA". It matches the Rfam family "Bacterial small subunit ribosomal RNA", at positions 524 to 776 of the family's 1533-position model. The record is from RNAcentral.